Molecule: ribosomal RNA, 684 nt
Filed under: Volvulina compacta
Lineage: Eukaryota; Viridiplantae; Chlorophyta; Chlorophyceae; Chlamydomonadales; Volvocaceae
Description: eukaryotic LSU rRNA
Rfam family: 5.8S ribosomal RNA (bases 265-418)
Source: RNAcentral
GUUCGUAGGUGAACCUGCGGAAGGAUCAUUGAAUCUAUCAAAUCCACACAUUACACGUGAACCCUUUACAUCGUUGGCCAUCUGUACAGCAUAUGUUGUACAGAUUGGAUCCGGGAUCUGAGAAAUCGGAUCCAGGAUCCAGACGUCAUUGCAAUGCUUUGCAUUGCAGUGGCUUCGGUCCCUUACUAAUCCAACCAACACCUAACCAAAAUAACAUACAAAACCGAAUGUAUGGCUUAGAGCCACACGUUCAAAAACCAAGACAACUCUCAACAACGGAUAUCUUGGCUCUCAGAUCGAUGAAGAACGCAGCGAAAUGCGAUACGUAGUGUGAAUUGCAGAAAUACGUGAAUCAUCGAAUCUUUGAACGCAAAUUGCGCUCGAGGCUUCGGCCAAGAGCAUGUCUGCCUCAGCGUCGGGUUAAAACUCGCUCUACCCUUCUUGGGUAUGAUGCGGAACUGGCUGUCUCAGCAUGUUUUGGUACAUGUUGGGUCAGCUGAAGUGUGCAGCUGUCGAUACAUGGACCCGCUACGGGCCUCUACUGGGUAGGCAACCUGUUGCUUCAUGCUUUAGUAGAUGGCUUAGGAUCGGUGUGUUGGCACAAAACAGGAGCGUGCCUUUGGCAUGCAUUACUCUUUUUUUCUCGACCUGAGCUCAGGCAAGAUUACCCGCUGAACUUAAGAA